GAUGAACGCUGGCGGCGUGCCUAACACAUGCAAGUCGAACGAAGCGCCUUACCGUAUUCUUCGGAUGAAGGUCUGGUGCCUGAGUGUCGGACGGGUGAGUAACGCGUGUGUAACCUGCCCUGUACAGGGGGAUAACAGCUGGAAACGGCUGCUAAUACCGCAUACGCGCACGAGGAGACAUCUCCUUGUGUGAAAAACUCCGGUGGUACAGGAUGGGCCCGCGUCUGAUUAGCUGGUUGGCAGGGUAACGGCCUACCAAGGCAACGAUCAGUAGCCGGUCUGAGAGGAUGAACGGCUACAUUGGAACUGCGACACGGUCCAAACUCCUACGGGAGGCAGCAGUGGGGAAUAUUGCACAAUGGGGGAAACCGUGAUGCAGCAACGCCGCGUGAGUGAAGAAGUAUUUCGGUAUGUAAAGCUCUAUCAGCAGGGAAGAUAAUGACGGUACCUGACUAAGAAGCUCCGGCUAAAUACGUG
RNAcentral lists this ribosomal RNA (477 nucleotides) under uncultured bacterium. RNAcentral describes it as "partial 16S ribosomal RNA". It matches the Rfam family "Bacterial small subunit ribosomal RNA", at positions 28 to 507 of the family's 1533-position model. The record is from RNAcentral.